RNAcentral lists this transfer RNA (89 nucleotides) under Clostridiales bacterium. Its description in RNAcentral is "tRNA-Ser". It matches the Rfam family "tRNA". From Rfam's summary of the family: Transfer RNA (tRNA) molecules are approximately 80 nucleotides in length. Lineage: Bacteria; Bacillati; Bacillota; Clostridia; Eubacteriales. The record is from RNAcentral.
GGAGAAAUACCCAAGUGGUUGAAGGGGUACCCCUGGAAAGGGUAUAGGUCGAUAGUAUCGGCGCGAGGGUUCGAAUCCCUCUUUCUCCG